RNAcentral lists this ribosomal RNA (917 nucleotides) under Phialophora sp. DV-2018a. RNAcentral's name for it is "LSU rRNA". It matches the Rfam family "Eukaryotic large subunit ribosomal RNA", at positions 34 to 968 of the family's 3401-position model. The record is from RNAcentral. Lineage: Eukaryota; Fungi; Ascomycota; Eurotiomycetes; Chaetothyriales; Herpotrichiellaceae.
UUAAGCAUAUCAAUAAGCGGAGGAAAAGAAACCAACAGGGAUUACCUCAGUAACGGCGAGUGAAGCGGUAACAGCUCAAAUUUGAAAUCUGGCUCUUUCAGGGUCCGAGUUGUAAUUUGUAGAAGAUGCUUCGGGUGUGGCCCCGGUCUAAGUUCCUUGGAACAGGACGUCAUAGAGGGUGAGAAUCCCGUAUGUGACUGGGUGCCUUCGCCUAUGUGAAGCUCUUUCGACGAGUCGAGUUGUUUGGGAAUGCAGCUCAAAAUGGGUGGUAAAUUUCAUCUAAAGCUAAAUAUUGGCCAGAGACCGAUAGCGCACAAGUAGAGUGAUCGAAAGAUGAAAAGCACUUUGGAAAGAGAGUUAAACAGUACGUGAAAUUGUUGAAAGGGAAGCGCUUGCAACCAGACUUGCACGUUGUCGAUCAUCCGGGGUUCUCCCCGGUGCACUCGAUCUCGUUCAGGCCAGCAUCGGUUUUGGUGGUGGGAUAAAGGCCUUGGGAAUGUAGCUUCUUUCGGGGAGUGUUAUAGCCCUCGGUGCAAUGCCGCCUACCGGGACCGAGGACCGCGCUUCGGCUAGGAUGCUGGCGUAAUGGUUGUAAGCGACCCGUCUUGAAACACGGACCAAGGAGUCUAACAUCUAUGCGAGUGUUUGGGUGUCAAACCCAUACGCGUAAUGAAAGUGAACGGAGGUGAGAACCCUUAAGGGUGCAUCAUCGACCGAUCCUGAUGUCUUCGGAUGGAUUUGAGUAAGAGCAUAGCUGUUGGGACCCGAAAGAUGGUGAACUAUGCGUGAAUAGGGUGAAGCCAGAGGAAACUCUGGUGGAGGCUCGCAGCGGUUCUGACGUGCAAAUCGAUCGUCAAAUUUGCGUAUAGGGGCGAAAGACUAAUCGAACCAUCUAGUAGCUGGUUCCUGCCGAAGUU